GUCAACUCGAAGCUGAGCGUUGUCAUCUCGGAGGGGUGUGAAGUCAGAUGUGAAGUCCCGGGUUAANNAGGGAACUGGAUUUGGAACUAGCAAGCUAGAGUCUCGUAGAGGGGGGUAGAAUUCCAGGUGUAGCGGUGAAAUGCGUAGAGAUCUGGAGGAAUACCGGUGGCGAAGGCGGCCCCCUGGACGAAGACUGACGCUCAGGUGCGAAAGCGUGGGGAGCAAACAGGAUUAGAUACCCUGGUAGUCCACGCUGUAAACGAUGUCGAUUUGGAGGUUGUGCCCUUGAGGCGUGGCUUCCGGAGCUAACGCGUUAAAUCGACCGCCUGGGGAGUACGGCCGCAAGGUUAAAACUCAAAAAAAUUGACGGA
RNAcentral lists this ribosomal RNA (371 nucleotides) under Serratia sp. (in: enterobacteria). RNAcentral's name for it is "bacterial SSU rRNA". It matches the Rfam family "Bacterial small subunit ribosomal RNA", at positions 540 to 917 of the family's 1533-position model. The record is from RNAcentral. Lineage: Bacteria; Pseudomonadati; Pseudomonadota; Gammaproteobacteria; Enterobacterales; Yersiniaceae.